AAAGAAUCCAGUCGGGUUUAGUGUUGUGAAAAAUUUAAAGUGAUAUUCAACGUCCUGCGUCCCCUUCCGCCAACUGUGGCGCAUUUACUUAUAUAAUAACAGACUGAUCCCAUAGCCUACUAUUGAGGAGUUGCCUCCGUACAAUGAAAAACUACUGAACUGCCACUCGUGGCCUCUCCAUGCACUGCUGUGAAAGAGGGGCCCAUUUUUAAGUGAAAAGGAUUGUAGGAAUUGGUUUAGAACUGGACCCCUGCAAAGCACUGUAUCCCCCGUCAUAGCCUGGCUCCCUUCUCUUCGCUUCUUAACCUGUAAAGCUAGCGGUCCAUGUCUGAUCUAUGGAGCUCCUCUACUUGAGCCAACAUGCCAUGAUGGAUGGUCAUUGGCCUGCACAUGCAGCUCAAUAUUUCAAUUUCCUGCCUAGGCGGAGGCAUUUCAAAGUUUGAAUAGAGUUCAUAGGCACAGUGUGGUGCCUGCCGCUGCCCCCAACACCCGCCGUGAAGACCCCAGACCCAAACACAGCAAUGAGCACAUUCCGAAGACUCCGUCUCUGUCAACCUGGCUCUCAACGGCAAUGAAGAGGGCUAUUAUACUACACCUAUAACUGUUCAUAGAAAUCUAUACUUAAAAGUUUAUACACACCUAUUCAUUCUUUUUAUUGUCCACAUUUACUGUGAAAUAUGAUGCAAGAAAUGUAAACACGUUAAACUAUAUUUUUAGGUAGCCAUUAAAUUACAGCUCCAGACACUCUGGGCAUUUUCUCAA
Molecule: long non-coding RNA, 762 nt
Organism: Misgurnus anguillicaudatus (oriental weatherfish)
Lineage: Eukaryota; Metazoa; Chordata; Actinopteri; Cypriniformes; Cobitidae
Source: RefSeq, a predicted model, not a curated record